CCAGCCCGCUCAGAACUUAAAGGAAUUGAGGGGCCCGCACAAGCGGUGGAGCAGUGUGGUUUAAUUCGAUGAUACGCGAGGAACCUUACCUGGGCUCAAAUGUAUGUUGACGUAUUUCUGAAAGGGGUACUUCUUCGGACAAUAUACAAGGUGCUGCAUGGUUGUCGUCAGCUCGUGCCGUGAGGUGUCGGGUUAAGUCCCAUAACGAGCGCAACCCUACCUUUAGUUGCCAUCAGGUAAUGCUGGGGACUCUAAAGGAACUGCCUACGCAAGUAGUGAGGAAGGCGGGGAUGACGUCAAAUCAGCACGGCCCUUACGUCCAGGGCUACACACGUGCUACAAUGGCCGAUACAGAGGGCAGCUACCUGGUGACAGGAUGCAAAUCUCCAAAGUCGGUCUCAGUUCGGAUCGGAGUCUGCAACCCGACUCCGUGAAGUUGGAUUCGCUAGUAAUCGCGCAUCAGCCAUGGCGCGGUGAAUACGUUCCCGGGCCUU
RNAcentral lists this ribosomal RNA (494 nucleotides) under uncultured Sphingobacteriales bacterium. RNAcentral describes it as "bacterial SSU rRNA". It matches the Rfam family "Bacterial small subunit ribosomal RNA", at positions 903 to 1382 of the family's 1533-position model. The record is from RNAcentral. Lineage: Bacteria; Pseudomonadati; Bacteroidota; Sphingobacteriia; Sphingobacteriales.